AAGGAGAUGUCUCUGCAUUUGGUGAUGGACCUGAAUAAAGCCACAGUAGACUAGCAAGAACAGUAGUCAGUCAGAAAGCAAAGCCAAACAUGAAUUAGCAGAAGCAGAUACAAGAGAACAAACUGUAAUCUAUGGAGCCAAGUUGAGAACUAAUGGGAACAAACCCAAAAGGACAAACUGGAACAUGCUUGGUCUCUCUGUUUCCCCCAUCCACUGCACAGGUGAACUGCAGAAGCCAUCUGUGCCUUUACUGCAGAGCAGCACGUACCAGGCUCAGGAUUCAGGAAAGAUGAAGGAGCUGGCAACAGCCGCAGGAGCUGGGAGCCUGGGGACUUGCCCCAGUCGACAGAGUGAACCAGCCCAGCCCCCAAAACACGCAGGUGCAGCAGCAGAACCUGGCACCCCGCACCCACUGGCAUAGCGUUCUCUCUGCUGUUUCGCUGCUUCCUCUCAACUCACACCAAGUUCUCUUGUUGCCAAGAGCCAGAGCCAGGAAUUCUGGGAAACAUAGUUCAAGCUGAAUCAAAUCAGCACAACUUAAAAUGGCAAUCAAAACAGCAAGGAUGCCAGUGUGGCUAGAGUGUGGGGGAAAGCACUAAGGGAUGAGGACUGUAGAAGUGUAGUUCGAACAAACCACACCUGGGCAUUAACUCAUGAUUCCUUCUACAUUGUCCAGAAACAGCCCACCAAAUCUAGUGUCUUAGCUAUCUGGGCUGAGGAAGUACCUUCAAAAUACAACAAGUGGGCCAGCGCCCUUAAUCCCAGAAACUUGGGAGGCUGAGGCAGGAAAAUGGCAAGUUCAAGGCCAGCCUGGGCAAC
This 819-nucleotide long non-coding RNA is filed under the name Marmota monax (woodchuck). Lineage: Eukaryota; Metazoa; Chordata; Mammalia; Rodentia; Sciuridae. The record is from RNAcentral.